RNAcentral lists this ribosomal RNA (482 nucleotides) under uncultured bacterium. RNAcentral describes it as "bacterial SSU rRNA". It matches the Rfam family "Bacterial small subunit ribosomal RNA", at positions 29 to 507 of the family's 1533-position model. The record is from RNAcentral.
AUUAAACGCUGGCGGCAUGCCUUACACAUGCAAGUCGAACGGCAGCACGGGGCAACCUGGUGGCGAGUGGCGAACGGGUGAGUAAAGCAUCGGAACGUGCCCUGGAGUGGGGGAUAACGUAGCGAAAGUUACGCUAAUACCGCAUAUUCUGUGAGCAGGAAAGCAGGGGAUCGCAAGACCUUGCGCUCUGGGAGCGGCCGAUGUCGGAUUAGCUAGUUGGUGGGGUAAAGGCCUACCAAGGCGACGAUCCGUAGCGGGUCUGAGAGGAUGAUCCGCCACACUGGGACUGAGACACGGCCCAGACUCCUACGGGAGGCAGCAGUGGGGAAUUUUGGACAAUGGGCGGAAGCCUGAUCCAGCCAUGCCGCGUGAGUGAAGAAGGCCUUCGGGUUGUAAAGCUCUUUCGGCCGGGAAGAAAUCGCAUGGGUGAAUACCCUGUGUGGAUGACGGUACCGGAAUAAGAAGCACCGGCUAACUACGUG